This 483-nucleotide ribosomal RNA is filed under the name uncultured bacterium. RNAcentral's name for it is "partial 16S ribosomal RNA". It matches the Rfam family "Bacterial small subunit ribosomal RNA", at positions 30 to 507 of the family's 1533-position model. The record is from RNAcentral.
UUGAACGCUGGCGGCAGGCCUAACACAUGCAUGUCGAGCGGAUGAAGGGAGCUUGCUCCUGGAUUCAGCGGCGGACGGGUGAGUAAUGCCUAGGAAUCUGCCUGGUAGUGGGGGAUAACGUCCGGAAACGGGCGCUAAUACCGCAUACGUCCUGAGGGAGAAAGUGGGGGAUCUUCGGACCUCACGCUAUCAGAUGAGCCUAGGUCGGAUUAGCUAGUUGGUGGGGUAAAGGCCUACCAAGGCGACGAUCCGUAACUGGUCUGAGAGGAUGAUCAGUCACACUGGAACUGAGACACGGUCCAGACUCCUACGGGAGGCAGCAGUGGGGAAUAUUGGACAAUGGGCGAAAGCCUGAUCCAGCCAUGCCGCGUGUGUGAAGAAGGUCUUCGGAUUGUAAAGCACUUUAAGUUGGGAGGAAGGGCAGUAAGUUAAUACCUUGCUGUUUUGACGUUACCAACAGAAUAAGCACCGGCUAACUUCGUG